GUUUUGAGUAACGGGCUAUUCAACUACUGUUAAAUUUUGAUUUUAAUUAAACGCUUCUCAUUGCUAUUCUGAAGAACACUUAUUUCAUCUGAUGUGCAGAAUUUUUUAUUGGUGUGUGAUCCAACAAUGCCAGACAAAAUGUUAAUUGAGAAAUUUUUGAUCCCUUCGUUAGAAGGCAACUUUCAAACACCUAUUGACCCAUGUCAAUAGGGACGAAGGAAUCUUUAAAAUUUUCUGGCAACACAAAUUCCUUGAACUGGAAGGAAGAUUUCCAAGUUUUCAAAGCAUGGGAUUUAAUGAAAGGAAGGAGGGCCAGCAAUGACCUCAUAUAUUUUACCGACAGCAAGCACCGUUUUGCGAAAGCAUAGCUGCGUAAAAUUUUUGAAGUCUUCUGAAAAGAAAUACAAGUUUUUUCAACUGACAAAUUUUAGGUUCUGUGAAAACUUGUGUGUAACCAUGACCGCCUGGAAGAUCCAAUUGCUGAUAUAACGAAUUAUCACCUAUUUACAUUUCUAAUGCAUGACUUUUAAAAAUUUAGUUCCACUGUUGGAAGGAAAGUUUUACGGCCAGCUCUACCGGACACUGAUCGGAUGCCGACGAAUCUAUGACUCCCGGACUUCGGCAAAACCAGUGUCAGAAUGGAUGAUAAUAGAACCUUCAAGAAAUUUAUGUUUAUUAGGUCACGACUGAAGAUCUUUUACUGCUGUACCACGUGAACUAGAAGCCGCGAGACCUCGAGGCAGUUCUUUGAGUACAGUUCAGGUAAUUAGUGGAACGAGUUCUCUCCCUGGCUACUUCGAGCUGCCUAUCAUUGUUGUUCUGCUAUGUUUCUUGCUGUCUGCUAGAAUUGCUAUUGUUUAUUGCUUACGUGCGUCUGGGCAGUGUCUUUGUCUUCCGUGUAUUUGUGUUAAUAAAC
Argiope bruennichi is the source of this 916-nucleotide long non-coding RNA. RefSeq lists it as uncharacterized. NCBI's taxonomy places the organism in Eukaryota, Metazoa, Arthropoda, Arachnida, Araneae, Araneidae. The transcript is spliced from 5 exons. The record is from RefSeq and is a predicted model, not a curated record.